UGGGGAAUAUUGGACAAUGGGGGCAACCCUGAUCCAGCAAUGCCGCGUGUGUGAAGAAGGUCUUCGGAUUGUAAAGCACUUUCGACGGGGACGAUGAUGACGGUACCCGUAGAAGAAGCCCGGCUAACUUCGUGCCAGCAGCCGCGGUAAUACGAAGGGGGCUAGCGUUGCUCGGAAUGACUGGGCGUAAAGGGCGUGUAGGCGGUUUACACAGUCAGAUGUGAAAUCCCCGGGCUUAACCUGGGAGCUGCAUUUGAUACGUGUAGACUAGAGUGUGAGAGAGGGUUGUGGAAUUCCCAGUGUUGAGGUGAAAUUCGUAGAUAUUGGGAAGAACACCGGUGGCGAAG
This 347-nucleotide ribosomal RNA is filed under the name uncultured bacterium. RNAcentral's name for it is "partial 16S ribosomal RNA". It matches the Rfam family "Bacterial small subunit ribosomal RNA", at positions 355 to 720 of the family's 1533-position model. The record is from RNAcentral.